Molecule: long non-coding RNA, 545 nt
Organism: Sceloporus undulatus (fence lizard)
Lineage: Eukaryota; Metazoa; Chordata; Lepidosauria; Squamata; Phrynosomatidae
Exons: 3
Source: RefSeq, a predicted model, not a curated record
GCAUGGGAGGAGAGCGUGUGUGUGUCUUUGGGGGGAGAUGGAACUUGUUGUCCCCAAACCAUGUUUACUCAUGGUAUGCACUGCAGAUAAACAAGGCCCAUCUUCUUUGCUGACCAUGCAAAACCUUCCCUGCCAAGAGCAGAUUGUUGGCCUCGACCUUCUCAUCUGGGCAUCCACUUCUGAAGGGCCAAGAGUGAAACAAACUCGCAGGGAUUUACACGGCGCCUGCACCUUGAGAGGGAUGCAAAGGGCCCUCUGAGGAACCCACCAGAGGACGAUCCCGUCGCCGACGGCUUUGAAGAGGUCAUCUGUAUUUGGGUUCAUGGGGAUGACGUGCCUGCAAUCCGCGUCGUUUUCCAGGGCUUUGUUUAUCCAGUUCACAAAGGCGUAUUUUUCUUCCUCUAAAAGAAGGGAGCGGAUUGUUUAGCUCCAGAAAAACCAGCCCAACAUGACGCAAUAAUACCUGAGUAGGAAUGCUGGGUCCCUUCGCUGGAGAGUUCGGACGUCCCGCCGAUGGCACAGAUCCCUUCUUUCCUGUUGAUGGC